RNAcentral lists this long non-coding RNA (678 nucleotides) under Rattus norvegicus (Norway rat). RNAcentral describes it as "long non-coding RNA NONRATT003982". The record is from RNAcentral. Lineage: Eukaryota; Metazoa; Chordata; Mammalia; Rodentia; Muridae.
CAGAAGCUGCCAGCCUGGGGGAGCUCCCCCGGGCCGGGCAGGUGGUGAGAACUGUGGUACUGGGAGGGGAUACAGCAGCCGUGCUCAGAAGGGGGCACCACCUUUCAGGCCGUCUUCCAAGACCCCUGGUCCAGCCUGGGGAGCUGCUUCCACAUGCGGCAAGCACAGGGAUGGGCUGGCAGUGGUUCCAGGUGGACCCUGCCCCACUCCCCAGGUCCAAGCACCUGUGACCCUAGGGAGCGCUGGUCUGCCUGCCAGCUGGUGGCUGCCUACACCCACCUGUGUGCCCAGGACUCUGUGCCCUUGGUCCUUCCUCUGCGGUGUGGAAUGACAAGUGCUCAGCUCUGCAGUGAGCACAGAGGUCCAACAAAGCUAUGUGCAAAGCGGUUUUUAUGAAGAAAGAGCUGGCCUGGUUGUCAGGGACAGGAGGAAUGCUAAUUUGAGGCCAGCCUGGGCUACGUAGCAAAAAUCAAAUAGAACUGGAGAGAUGGCUCCAUGGUCCUCUUGCCGAGGAGCUGGGUUCAAUUCCAAGCACCCAUGUACCAGCUCACAACUGCCACCAGGGGAAUGGAUGGCCUGACGCCCCACCCCCCAUACAUGUAAAAUUAAAAAUUAAUAGUUUCUUAAAAAGAAAAGGAACCAAACAAAAAAGUCAGGAAAAUACAUUGGCUGAUAAUG